This 73-nucleotide transfer RNA is filed under the name Camelus bactrianus (Bactrian camel). It matches the Rfam family "tRNA". Rfam says of the family: Transfer RNA (tRNA) molecules are approximately 80 nucleotides in length. Their secondary structure includes four short double-helical elements and three loops (D, anti-codon, and T loops). The record is from Rfam by way of RNAcentral. Lineage: Eukaryota; Metazoa; Chordata; Mammalia; Artiodactyla; Camelidae. RNAcentral also lists the same sequence under 2 other names.
AAGGGUAUAGCUCAAGUGGUAGAGCAUGUGCUUAGCAUGCAGGAGGUGCUGGGUUCCAUUCCCAGUGCCUCCA